CCUACGGGGGGCUGCAGUGGGGGAUAUUGCACAAUGGGGGAAACCCUGAUGCAGCGACGCCGCGUGUAGGAAGACGGUCCUCUGGAUUGUAAACUACUUUCCCCAGGGACGAAGAUGACGGUACCUGGGGAGGAAGCUCGGGCUAACUACGUGCCAGCAGCCUCGGUAAUCGGUAGGGAGCGAGCGUUGUCCGGAAUUACUGGGUGUAAAGGGAGCGUAGGCGGGGAUGCAAGUUGGGUGUUAAAUCUACCGGCUCAACUGGUAGUCGCACUCAAAACUGGAGCUCUUGAGUGAAGGAGAGGCAGGCGGAAUUCCUAGUGUAGCGGUGAAAUGCGUAGAUAUUAGGAGGAACACCAGUGGCGAAGGCGGCCUGCUGGGCUUUUACUGACGCUGAGGCUCGAAAGUGUGGGGAGCAAACAGGAUUAGAUACCCGAGUAGUC
Molecule: ribosomal RNA, 440 nt
Filed under: uncultured bacterium
Lineage: Bacteria
Description: partial 16S ribosomal RNA
Rfam family: Bacterial small subunit ribosomal RNA
Source: RNAcentral